UUUGACCUCAAGAUGAACAAAAAGGGUUUAACUGUCAUAAUGGAUGUCCAUCAUAAAAAGGCCCCAUAGCGCCCCCUUCAAAAUUUCAAAACGUAAACCCGCUCCUGCGGUCCAGACAAGUGGAUUCAAUGACACUUAUCUUGAACCCCAAGAGGAAAAGAAAUGGUUGCCAAUGUAAAAAUUGGGGACCCAUCAAAAAAUUCCUUCAUUUCUCCCUCUACAAAAUUUCAAAAUGUAAGUUCAGCUCCUGUGUUUGACCUAAACCGAGGGAUUCAAUGACACCUACGUUGGACUCAAAGUUAAACAAAAAGUUUUCCACUGUCAAAAUGGAUUUCCAACAAAAAUGUGGUCAUAGCGCCCUCUACAAAAAUUUCAGGACUCAGUGCUGUAUUUGAAGUCUGGUGUAUACCCUGUCAAUAGGAAUGGAGCCAGGACCGUCCGUUGUGGAACCCCUGUACUUCUCAAUAAGGCCCAGAAACACAGUUCCCCAGCGUGAAGAACUGUGUGAUUCCUGUCAGGCAAUUUGUGAUCCAGGAAACACAGGUAGGAUCCACGCCCAUCUCUGUGGGCUUGUCUUUGAGUAUGAUCGGUUGGAUGGUGUUGAACGUUAUGGUGACCUGUUGUUAUGAUGACCUGUCAGUUCAUUGACCUAUUGUUAUAAGUGGUAUCAUAAAAAAAUAAGACCAUCUUAAGAAGAGAGACUGAUUUUUAUUAGAAAACAUAACCUGAAACUGGAUAUCUCUUGCAGGGUUUUAUAGUCUUGAAUAUGUAAAGGAUUCGUAAUAUCAUUGACUUUGAAACCAUUUAAGUUUUUUUUGUAGGAUCAGAUUAACAAAAAACAACUGGCACUCUCAUGAUCACUUCUAAUUGUACAGGAAAAAGUGAAAUAUUGCAAAAAGUAUAAAUGGUAGAAAGGUGAAAAGUUCACCCCACUAGAUGGUGCUGUCAUACCAUAAUCAAAAAUUACUAUGGUUACAUUCUGACUGUAAACUUCUUUUGAGUACUUCCACAUUCCACGGGGAGGUUGUAAUACAUACAUUUUUAGGCAUUUGUCUAUCCGAAGCACCUCGACUGAUCAUUUUUCCUUGUAAUGCACAUAAGACAUACAAUUUUAGCAAUUUUUUUUAUUUUUACCUUCAUCCAAGUAUUUUAGCUUCAGCUCUGUAAUAUUUUCUACAUUUUUAUGUGGGGAAGUCACUGAAGCACACCACUAGAUGGUGCUGUUUUUCCAUUAUUACAAAUGAGUCUCAUCACCCUGUGAUGAAGAAAAUGUCAAGAUGGAGAACCAACCAUCAAUGGUCACAUAUUGCCCCCUACCCAAUUGAAAAAUAAAAGCCCUUUUUCUGUGUACGAACCAAACUUUUGAAAUAAAGAACAAUUAUGACAAACCGAAAGUUGAACAUACAGGGCUCCAGCAUCAAAAUGGAGAAUCAACUUCAAAUAGCUCCAGAGUGCCAGCUUCAAAUUAAAAAAAAAAAAGUAAGCCCCACUCCUGUGUUUGACCAAAACCUUUGGAAUUGAUGUCACUUAUGUUUGACCUCAAGACAAAGAAAAAUGGGUUCAAUGUCAAAAUUGAGGUCCUUCAAGAAAUAACUACAUAGCACCCCCUUCAUAAUUUCAAAAUGAAACCCCUGCUUCUUUGAGUGACUCAGACCAAUGGACUAACAGACACUUAUCUUGGAUCCAACUGAAAAUGGCACGACUGCGUUCUCUACAACAUUUCUAAAUGAAAGCCCUGCUCUGGUGCGCGUCCAAAACCUGUGGAAUUAGUGACACUGAAGUUGAACCUUAACACGAACAAAAACAGUUUGAAUAUCAAAAUGGAGAUCCAUCAAAACAUGGCUCUAUGGCGCCACCUUCAAAUUUCUUCAGUGUGAACCACGCUCCUGUGUUUGACCGAAACCUAUGAAAUUGAUGACACUUAUGUUUGACCUCAAGAUGAACAAAAAGGGUUUAACUGUCAUAAUGGAUGUCCAUCAUAAAAAGGCCCCAUAGCGCCCCCUUCAAAAUUUCAAAACGUAAACCCGCUCCUGCGGUCCAGACAAGUGGAUUCAAUGACACUUAUCUUGAACCCCAAGAGGAAAAGAAAUGGGUGCCAAUGUAAAAAUUGGGGACCCAUCAAAAAAUUCCUUCAUUUCUCCCUCUACAAAAUUUCAAAAUGUAAGUUCAGCUCCUGUGUUUGACCUAAACCGAGGGAUUCAAUGACACCUACGUUGGACUCAAAGUUAAACAAAAAGUUUUCCACUGUCAAAAUGGAUUUCCAACAAAAAUGUGGUCAUAGCGCCCUCUACAAAAAUUUCAGGACUCAGUGCUGUAUUUGAAGUCUGGUGUAUACCCUGUCAAUAGGAAUGGAGCCAGGACCGUCCGUUGUGGAACCCCUGUACUUCUCAAUAAGGCCCAGAAACACAGUUCCCCAGCGUGAAGAACUGUGUGAUUCCUGUCAGGCAAUUUGUGAUCCAGGAAACACAGGUAGGAUCCACGCCCAUCUCUGUGGGCUUGUCUUUUAGUAUGAUCGGUUGGAUGGUGUUGAACGUUAUGGUGACCUGUUGUUAUGAUGACCUGUCAGUUCAUUGACCUAUUGUUAUAAGUGGUAUCAUAAAAAAAUAAGACCAUCUUAAGAAGAGAGACUGAUUUUUAUUAGAAAACAUAACCUGAAACUGGAUAUCUCUUGCAGGGUUUUAUAGUCUUGAAUAUGUAAAGGAUUCGUAAUAUCAUUGACUUUGAAACCAUUUAAGUUUUUUUUGUAGGAUCAGAUUAACAAAAAACAAUUGGCACUCUCAUGAUCACUUCUAAUUGUACAGGAAAAAGUGAAAUAUUGCAAAAAGUAUAAAUGGUAGAAAGGUGAAAAGUUCACCCCACUAGAUGGUGCUGUCAUACCAUAAUCAAAAAUUACUAUGGUUACAUUCUGACUGUAAACUUCUUUUGAGUACUUCCACAUUCCACGGGGAGGUUGUAAUACAUACAUUUUUAGGCAUUUGUCUAUCCGAAGCACCUCGACUGAUCAUUUUUCCUUGUAAUGCACAUAAGACAUACAAUUUUAGCAAUCUUUUUUUAUUUUUACCUUCAUCCAAGUAUUUUAGCUUCAGCUCUGUAAUAUUUUCUACAUUUUUAUGUGGGGAAGUCACUGAAGCACACCACUAGAUGGUGCUGUUUUUCCAUUAUUACAAAUGAGUCUCAUCACCCUGUGAUGAAGAAAAUGUCAAGAUGGAGAACCAACCAUCAAUGGUCACAUAUUGCCCCCUACCCAAUUGAAAAAUAAAAGCCCUUUUUCUGUGUACGAACCAAACUUUUGAAAUAAAGAACAAUUAUGACAAACCGAAAGUUGAACAUACAGGGCUCCAGCAUCAAAAUGGAGAAUCAACUUCAAAUAGCUCCAGAGUGCCACCUUCAAAUUUAAAAAAAAAAAAAUUAAGCCCAACUCCUGUGUUUGACCAAAACCUUUGGAAUUUAUGUCACUUAUGUUUGACCUCAAGACAAAGAAAAAUGGGUUCAAUGUCAAAAAUGUAGUCUCUUUAAGAAAUAGCUACAUAGCACCCCUUUCAUAAUUUCAAAAUGAAACCCCUGCUCCUUUGAGUGACUCAGACCAAUGGACUAACAGACACUUAUCUUGGAUCCAACUGAAAAUGGCACGACUGCGUUCUCUACAACAUUUCUAAAUGAAAGCCCUGCUCUGGUGCGCGUCCAAAACCUGUGGAAUUAGUGACACUGAAGUUGAACCUUUACACGAACAAAAACAGUUUAAAUAUCAAAAUGGAGAUCCAUCAAAACAUUGGCUCUAUGGCGCCACCUUCAAAUUUCUUCAAUGUGAACCACGCUCCUGUGUUUGACCUAAACCUAUGAAAUUGAUGACACUUAUGUUUGACCUUGAGACGAACAAAAAGGGUUUAACUGUCAUAAUGGAUAUCCAUCAUAAAAAGGCCCCAUAGCGCCCCCUUCAAAAUUUCAAAACUUAAACCCCGCUCCUGUGGUCCAGACAAGUGGAUUCAAUGACACUUGUCUUGAACGCCAAGAGGAAAAGAAAUGGGUGCCAAUGUAAAAAUUGGGGACCCAUCAAAAAAUUCCUUCAUUUCUCCCUCUACAAAAUUUCAAAAUGUAAGUUCAGCUCCUGUGUUUGACCUAAACCGAGGGAUUCAAUGACACCUAUGUUGGACUCAAAGUUAAACAAAAAGUUUUCCACUGUCAAAAUGGAUUUCCAUAAAAAUGUGGUCAUAGCGCCCUCUAAAAAAAUUUCAGGACACAGUGCUGUAUUUGAAGUCUGGUGUAUACCCUGUCAAUAGGAAUGGAGCCAGGACCGUCCGUUGUGGAACCCCUGUACUUCCCAAUAAGGCCCAGAAACACAGUUCCCCAGCAUGAAGAACUGUGUGAUUCCUGUCAGGCAAUUUGUGAUCCAGGAAACACAGGUAGGAUCCACGCCCAUCUCUGUGGGUUUGUCUUUGAGUAUGAUCGGUUGGAUGGUGUUGAAUGUUAUGGUGACCUGUUGUUAUGAUGACCUGUCAGUUCAUUGACCUAUUGUUAUAAGUGGUAUCAUGAAAAUAAGACCAUCUUAAGAAGAGAGACUGAUUUUUAUUCAAAAACAUAACCUGAAACUGGAUAUCUCUUGCAGGGUUUUAUAGUCUUGAAUUUGUAAAGGAUUAGUAAUAUCAUUGACUUUGAUGCCUUUGAAGUUUUUUUUGUAGGAUCAGAUUUCCAAAAAAUAUUCUUUGUUAACGCUCAGUUGCUAAAAAAAGCCACUGACAUCGACUGCUGUAAAAACAUAUUGGAUUCAUAUUUUUUCCAGAUUUUUUUUCACACAUCUCUCAAAUAACUUCUGCCCUGAUCAAAAAUAGUACAUUUUUUAUCCAAAAAACAAGUUUUAAGCCUUUGAGAGUCCAUUCAAAACAUAACGCCUAAUGCCUAAACAAAACUAUGGCCCCGCUCCAUGUGUGAAUACUGAAAAGAUGUUUGCAGUCAGCAGUAUGAAACCGUAGUGAUUUGUAAUAGUGGAAAAAGAGCACCAUCUAGUGGUGUGCUUCUGUCACUGCCCUACAUAAAAAAGAUGUUUGCAGUCGGCACAUCAUCAUAGAAAUAUUUGAUUAUGGUAUGACAGCCAAAUCUAGUGGUGAGCUUUAGUUGCUGCCCUACAUGUUAAUAUAAAGAGUGUUACAGAGCUGUAGCUAAAAAAGCUGUAUAAAUGCAAAAUUAUUAAAGUUGCUAAAUAGAUGGUAUUAAUCUCAAAAGUAUUAAGAGCAGAAGUUUAAAAACUUGUAUGAAUGUAAAAAAUGCUCACGUGAAGACAAAGUUGUAAGACUUGUCAAUAUUUGUCAAUAUAGAAAUUGUUACAGAGCUGUGGUAUAAAAAAGGCAUAUGAAUGUAAAAUUAUGAAAGUAUGAAGAAGUGGUAUUAAUCUUAAAAGUAUAGAGAGCAGAAUUUUAAAUACUUUUAUGAAUGUAAAAAAUGCUCAAGUGAAGAAAAAGUUGUAAGACUUUUGUGAAUAAAAAUAAAUAAAGCUCAGUCUAGGUGCUUUGGAACGACAAGUGCCUAGAGAUUUAUAUAUUACAAACUCCCCAUGAAAUGUUGAAAUAUUCAAAAGAGGUUUGCAGUCAGCAGCAUGUAACCAUAGUCACUGGUAGCGGCACAACACUACCCUAUAGUGUGCUUCAGUUACUAACUUACCAAGCUGAAGCGCACCGCAAGAUGGAGUAGUGCGUGUGGACAGGGUGUGAAGGAAAUCGACAAGCACACAACACAUGAGAAGUGCUCCACCAUGGGUGAAGUGGAUGCCGUCUGAACUUCUUUACCUGGCACAGUUUUUCUAAGUGGUAUCAUGAAAAUAAGACCAUCUUAAGAAUUCUGGCACUCUCAUGAUCAUUUCUAAAUGUACAGAAAAAGUGAAAUAUUGCAAAAAGUAUAAAUGGUAGAAAGGUGAAAAGUACACACCACUAGAUGGUGCUGUCAUACCAUAAUCAAAAAUUACUAUGGUUACUGUCAGAAUAAUGUGUAUAAAUAUAUAUAGAAGUUAUCAUCUUACUCAAAUUCUUAUGUAAGAGUUUGCUAUAAGUAUGAACUGUUUUAACCUCUUGUUACACAUCAUACACUGUGUGCAGAAUUAUUAGGCAAGUUGUAUUUUUGAGGAUAAACUUUAUUUUUCAACAACUGCAGUGCUCUUGGUCAAUCCAAAAUUUUAAUUAACCUCAAACC
This 6177-nucleotide long non-coding RNA is filed under the name Xyrichtys novacula (pearly razorfish). The record is from RNAcentral. Lineage: Eukaryota; Metazoa; Chordata; Actinopteri; Labriformes; Labridae.